RNAcentral lists this long non-coding RNA (743 nucleotides) under Anas platyrhynchos platyrhynchos (common mallard). RNAcentral describes it as "lncRNA (ENSAPLG00000019417.1)". The record is from RNAcentral. Lineage: Eukaryota; Metazoa; Chordata; Aves; Anseriformes; Anatidae.
GAGCAGAAUUUCUUGGGUCUGUUAUGAAGCUGAUGUAAUGAUGUGGAAAACCGGCCCCACAGCAAGUUAGAAGAGCUGAAUUCAGUGGUGAUGAUGGAGACGAGGAUGUGGAAUACAACAGGCAAGUACACUGAGAGAUGUUUGAGGCAUUCAGAUACUCUGGAUACAAGUGUCUCAUUGAAACUGAUAAACAAGUACAGAAUAAAUAGAGAAGCCCUCAGAAAUGCUGUGAGCUGCUCACCAGCAUGUCCUUGGAUGCAUGCUCCUGUUCAAGUCAAGAGCUGUUCUGCUUGCAACUCAGGAAAGUACGUGGUUAAAAGCACUGAUCUACAGUCUUUUUUUAUUGCUUUUGAGAAGUUCAAAAGACCUACACCCACCAGCAGCAGAAACUUGUGGGAGCUGAACAAAGGAAGGGUGCUAGGAGUCUGUUAACUGCUUGUGGUUGGAUCUGCAUGCUUCUUCCCCUGAUGUGUGAAAUGCAUGUGUAUGUAUAAAAUAUAAGCAGCUUGAAAUGUGGUUUACAUCAAAAUGUGUUAUUUUUUUUAAAUAUAUGUAUAUACAAACGGAGCCUAGUCUGUUCCAAAACAUGUUUGAACUAUACAGAAAUGAAGAAUCAAGUUUAAGCUUGAUUGCCUAAUCAAUUUGUAUAGAUGAUACUUGGCAGAGCAGGGAUAAUGGUAACUUAAUUGGUCAGGUGUUUUCUGGAAAAAAUAAAAGAAAAAAAAGUCUUUUUUUUUUUCUCA